RNAcentral lists this ribosomal RNA (447 nucleotides) under Pseudomonas sp. RNAcentral's name for it is "bacterial SSU rRNA". It matches the Rfam family "Bacterial small subunit ribosomal RNA", at positions 1 to 493 of the family's 1533-position model. Lineage: Bacteria; Pseudomonadati; Pseudomonadota; Gammaproteobacteria; Pseudomonadales; Pseudomonadaceae. The record is from RNAcentral.
UCAACCUGAGAGUUUGAUCCUGGCUCAGAGCGAACGCUGGCGGCAGGCCUAAUACAUGCAAGUCGAGCGGUCCCUUCGGGGGCAGCGGCGGACGGGUGAGUAACGCGUGGGAACGUGCCCUUUGGUACGGAACAACUGAGGGAAACUUCAGCUAAUACCGUAUGUGCCCUUCGGGGGAAAGAUUUAUCGCCAUUGGAGCGGCCCGCGUUGGAUUAGGUAGUUGGUGAGGUAAAGGCUCACCAAGCCUACGAUCCAUAGCUGGUCUGAGAGGAUGAUCAGCCACACUGGGACUGAGACACGGCCCAGACUCCUACGGGAGGCAGCAGUAGGGAAUCUUGCGCAAUGGGCGAAAGCCUGACGCAGCCAUGCCGCGUGAAUGAUGAAGGUCUUAGGAUUGUAAAAUUCUUUCACCGGGGACGAUAAUGACGGUACCCGGAGAAGAAGCCC